GAUGAACGCUGGCGGCGUGCCUAAUACAUGCAAGUCGAGCGAACAGAUAAGGAGCUUGCUCCUUUGACGUUAGCGGCGGACGGGUGAGUAACACGUGGGUAACCUACCUAUAAGACUGGGAUAACUUCGGGAAACCGGAGCUAAUACCGGAUAACAUUUGGAACCGCAUGGUUCUAAAGUGAAAGAUGGUUUUGCUAUCACUUAUAGAUGGACCCGCGCCGUAUUAGCUAGUUGGUAAGGUAACGGCUUACCAAGGCGACGAUACGUAGCCGACCUGAGAGGGUGAUCGGCCACACUGGAACUGAGACACGGUCCAGACUCCUACGGGAGGCAGCAGUAGGGAAUCUUCCGCAAUGGGCGAAAGCCUGACGGAGCAACGCCGCGUGAGUGAUGAAGGGUUUCGGCUCGUAAAACUCUGUUAUUAGGGAAGAACAAAUGUGUAAGUAACUGUGCACGUCUUGACGGUACCGAAUCAGAAAGCCACGGCUAACUA
RNAcentral lists this ribosomal RNA (493 nucleotides) under uncultured bacterium. Its description in RNAcentral is "partial 16S ribosomal RNA". It matches the Rfam family "Bacterial small subunit ribosomal RNA", at positions 28 to 503 of the family's 1533-position model. The record is from RNAcentral.